RNAcentral lists this long non-coding RNA (275 nucleotides) under Olea europaea (common olive). RNAcentral's name for it is "long non-coding RNA (OEUR_LNC002524)". The record is from RNAcentral. Lineage: Eukaryota; Viridiplantae; Streptophyta; Magnoliopsida; Lamiales; Oleaceae.
CACUUCAAUUUCUUUAUUUCCAGCCGCCUUUUGUCCAGUUCCAAUUCCUUCAGUUGCUUCGACUUUCGGUGGGAAUGGUAUAUGUAUCCAAAUCAGCUUUUAGCUCAACAAUUACUCCCCCAGCAACUGACCGAAUUUAUUAAUUACGCUACUCAAUUCCCCGGCUCCAAUCUGAUUUCGGCUUUCCGUGUGAAUAUAUAUACAAUUUAUUCCAGCCGUUUUUCUGCUAUCUAAGGUCUGCAGUUAAGCCCCCGUUUUUGUGCGUGUAUCCCCCC